RNAcentral lists this ribosomal RNA (256 nucleotides) under uncultured bacterium. Its description in RNAcentral is "partial 16S ribosomal RNA". It matches the Rfam family "Bacterial small subunit ribosomal RNA", at positions 335 to 590 of the family's 1533-position model. The record is from RNAcentral.
UGCCUACGGGACGCAGCAGUGAGGAAUAUUGGUCAGUGGGCGAUAGCCUGAACCAGCCAAGUCGCGUGAGGGAAGACGGCCCUAUGGGUUGUAAACCUCUUUUGUCGGGGAGCAAGGUCGCUACGUGUAGCGAUUUGAGAGUACCCGAAGAAAAAGCAUCGGCUAACUCCGUGCCAGCAGCCGCGGUCAUACGGAGGAUGCGAGCGUUAUCCGGAUUUAUUGGGUUUAAAGGGUGCGUAGGCGGGAGGUCAAGUCA